This is a long non-coding RNA of Neofelis nebulosa (Clouded leopard), 1677 nucleotides long. RefSeq lists it as uncharacterized. The record is from RefSeq and is a predicted model, not a curated record. Lineage: Eukaryota; Metazoa; Chordata; Mammalia; Carnivora; Felidae. The transcript is spliced from 2 exons.
CCAUGGACUCCCUGAAAUAGCAUGAAAACUCCCUCUUUUCGAGCUUAGGCGCGGAACUGGGCACUAGCCCACUAGCUGGGCUCCAGCGCGGAGCAGGACGGGCGAAGACACUGCUUUCACGCAAUUCACUUUCUAACGAUGGGGGCAGAUUACUAGGAAACAAGGUUAAUUUCUCAUAGUGACCUGUAUUAUGAGGGCAGCAAAACGCUAAGGAGGUAGAAAGCGAUGGAUGGGGUAUGGGACAGAGGUGAGAAGGAGCCAACAACACAAUGGACGGAUCGGGCAGGCGGACAGGUUGUCAGUUCCAUGAGGAUGAAGCCAUUGUUUUCCCAGGGCCCGGUGCUAGCCCCGGACACAGCAAGUGCUUGAAUAUGUAUUGAAUGUGUGAAGUUGGAAGACAAGCUUAAAUCCUCGGUUGGGCAUGUGAACCUCUCUGGGCCUCAUUUUCUUCUCUGUUUAUAAAACAGUGAAGAUAAUACCCCUUCACUGGACUGCUUGGGGCUCCCUGUGCAGGGAGGGAGAGCCAGCUCCGCCCCCUGCAGGCGGGUCAUUCACCUCCAGAUCUGAAUGCCGUCUUUGUUUCUCGAGGGGUUAGUUGGGUGGAGGGUGCCAAAAGAUUGAAUGAUUUAUCAGUGGUAUCAGUGGUAUGCAAAACUCAAUUGCUCUGCACACACCCCAAGUAGUGCCUCCCGCCCCCACUCCUGGUCUGCCAGAAAAGCAGUACUGGGGCCAUUCUCCUUCCCCAUUUCACUCCUUACCAAGAUCUACUUCCCCGAAAUGAAUGGCAAAAACCUUUAGGUGAGGAACGAUACCGUUAUCGGUUGGCGACCUGAACAAUCUUUCGGCUUCAAAUUUGCCCUGACCUUCCAUCCUGCAGCUGGCUUGUAUCAUAAUGUAGUUCAUGAUAUAAACAAGUCACUGGGGCUCAACAGGCAUGUAGUGCAAAUGGCUUUACGUUCAUUUUGGCCUCUGAGCAAAUGCCUUUAAUUUUUGUACGUGAUACGAAACUCCUGACCUAAAGACUGGGCUAAGGACCAACAAUUUCUGUCUUCUAGAAUUUCUAAACAACAUACCACCCUUUAUCUUAAUGUAGUGCUUUUAGCUUUUCAAAGCAUGUUAACUCCUACAUCUUGAUAUUCCCAAGACCAUGCUGGAAGGUUGCUAGGACAUGCACUUUCCUCCGGGCUCUGCCUUUUACUAGCUAUGUGACCUUGAGGAAGUUGUGUACCAUUUCUUUUUCUUUUUUAAAUUUAUUUUGAGAGAGACAGAGACAGCGCGAGUUGGGGAGGGACAGAGAGAGAAUCCCAAGCAAGCUCCCCACUCUCAGCACAGAGCCCAACGCAGAGUUCAAACCCAGGAACUGUGAGAUCAUGACCUGAACCGAAACCAAGAGUCGGACGCUUAACCGACUGAGCCACCCAGGCGCCCCAGUGUGUACCAUUUCUGUGCCUCAGUUUCCUCAUAGGUAAAAUGGAAGGGAUAAAGCCCUCACUUCAUGGCGUUAUAGUGUGAGGACUAAAUGAGUUACCUCACUUAGAGGUAACUUAGCAUUAAGAACAGCGCCUGGACCAUUGGCAAUGCUCAAUGAACGUUAAGUAUAACCAUUACUAGAACUCCUGUUGUAUCCUGGGUGCCAGCCAGGAAUUGUUUUAGAAUAAAGCUCAGCUUCCUAAAUUA